UAAUACGUAGGAGGCGAACGUUAUUCGGAUUUACUGGGCGUAAAGAGAGCGUAGGCGGUUCCUUAAGUCGGGUGUGGAAUAUUCUGACUCAAUCAGAAGGCGUCAUCCGAUACUGUGGGACUUGAGAGCAGCAGAGGGAAAUGGAAUCCCCAGUGUAGCGGUGAAAUGCGUAGAUAUUGGGGAGAACACCAGUGGCGAAGGCGAUUUCCCAGGCUGUUUCUGACGCUGAGGCUCGAAAGCGUGGGGAGCAAAGCGGUUUAGAUAUCCGCGUAGUCCACGCCGUAAACGGUGGACACUAGGUAUAGGAGGUAUCGACCCUUUCUGUGUCGAAGCUAACGCUUUAAGUGUCCCGCCUGGGGAGUACGGCCGCAAGGCUA
RNAcentral lists this ribosomal RNA (377 nucleotides) under uncultured bacterium. Its description in RNAcentral is "bacterial SSU rRNA". It matches the Rfam family "Bacterial small subunit ribosomal RNA", at positions 521 to 896 of the family's 1533-position model. The record is from RNAcentral.